RNAcentral lists this ribosomal RNA (494 nucleotides) under uncultured bacterium. RNAcentral's name for it is "partial 16S ribosomal RNA". It matches the Rfam family "Bacterial small subunit ribosomal RNA", at positions 28 to 507 of the family's 1533-position model. The record is from RNAcentral.
GACGAACGCUGGCGGCGCGCUUAACACAUGCAAGUCGAACGGAAAGGCCUGCUUUCCCUUGUGGAUUGCGGGUACUCGAGUGGCGAACGGGUGAGUAACACGUGGGUGAUCUGCCCCCAACUUGGGUAUAAGCCUGGGAAACUGGGUCUAAUUCCCGAUAGGACUGCAGGGUGGUGCCUGUGGUGGAAAACGAUUUUCUAGUGGUUGGGGAUGAGCUCGCGGCCUAUCAGCUUGUUGGUGGGGUAAUGGCCUACCAAGGCGGCGACGGGUAGCCGGCCUGAGAGGGUGGACGGCCACAUUGGGACUGAGAUACGGCCCAGACUCCUACGGGAGGCAGCAGUGGGGAAUAUUGCACAAUGGGCGGAAGCCUGAUGCAGCGACGCCGCGUGGGGGAUGACGGCCUUCGGGUUGUAAACUCCUUUCGACCGCGAGGAAGCCACCUGGUUGGAAGGGUGGUGACGGUAGUGGUAGAAGAAGCACCGGCUAACUACGUG